AGUGAACGCUGGCGGUAGGCCUAACACAUGCAAGUCGAACGGCAGCACAGUAAGAGCUUGCUCUUACGGGUGGCGAGUGGCGGACGGGUGAGGAAUACAUCGGAAUCUACUUUUUCGUGGGGGAUAACGUAGGGAAACUUACGCUAAUACCGCAUACGACCUACGGGUGAAAGCAGUGGAUCUUCGGACCUUGCGCGAUUGAAUGAGCCGAUGUCGGAUUAGCUAGUUGGCGGGGUAAAGGCCCACCAAGGCGACGAUCCGUAGCUGGUCUGAGAGGAUGAUCAGCCACACUGGAACUGAGACACGGUCCAGACUCCUACGGGAGGCAGCAGUGGGGAAUAUUGGACAAUGGGCGCAAGCCUGAUCCAGCCAGACCGCGUGGGUGAAGAAGGCCUUCGGGUUGUAAAGCCCUUUUGUUGGGAAAGAAAAGCAGCAGGUUAAUACCCCGCUGUUCUGACGGUACCCAAAGAAUAAGCACCGGCUAACUUCGUG
RNAcentral lists this ribosomal RNA (492 nucleotides) under uncultured bacterium. Its description in RNAcentral is "partial 16S ribosomal RNA". It matches the Rfam family "Bacterial small subunit ribosomal RNA", at positions 29 to 507 of the family's 1533-position model. The record is from RNAcentral.